UCAGACGGUCGGGCGAUCGCUAAGGUAAUAUUUACCUUGGAGGAAAGUCCGGGCUCCACAGAAAAACGGUGCCGGCUAACGGCCGGCGAGGGUGACCUUAGGGAAAGUGCCACAGAAACAAAACAGCUUGCCGGCUUUUUAGUUUUCUGAAAAGUGCAAGUAAAGGUGAAACGGUGCGGUAAAAGCGCACCGCGCUUUUGGCAACAAGAGCGGUCAUGGUAAACCCCACCGGGAGCAAAACCGAAUAGGAACAGCUGACUUAAUUAUAAGUCAGAGGAUUCUGCCUCGCUGUUCGGGUUGGUUGCGUGAGACAGGUUGUAAAACCUGCCCUAGAUGAAUGAUCGCCCCAUUUCUUUCAUGAAAUUGGACAGAACCCGGCUUAUAGACCGUCUGACUCU
RNAcentral lists this RNase P RNA (398 nucleotides) under Aristophania vespae. RNAcentral describes it as "Bacterial RNase P class A". It matches the Rfam family "Bacterial RNase P class A". Rfam says of the family: Ribonuclease P (RNase P) is a ubiquitous endoribonuclease, found in archaea, bacteria and eukarya as well as chloroplasts and mitochondria. Lineage: Bacteria; Pseudomonadati; Pseudomonadota; Alphaproteobacteria; Acetobacterales; Acetobacteraceae. The record is from Rfam by way of RNAcentral.